AUCGCUUCUCGGUCCUUUUUGGUAAGGACUCAAGUUGUAGUAUCUGUUCUUAUCAGUUUUUAAUAUCUGAUACGUCCUCUAUUGAGACGAUAUAUUAAUUGAUUUUUGGGUGGGAGAUGGAAAUAGGAUGCUCCGUCCACCUCCAACGCAUCGACCUGGUAUUGCAGUUGCCUCCAGUGAACGGUGCACCUCCC
Small nuclear RNA from Sceloporus undulatus (fence lizard), 194 nucleotides. RefSeq annotates it as U2 spliceosomal RNA. The record is from RefSeq and is a predicted model, not a curated record. The transcript has a single exon. NCBI's taxonomy places the organism in Eukaryota, Metazoa, Chordata, Lepidosauria, Squamata, Phrynosomatidae.